CAAGUACGACAUAGAUGGUGGUCCUAGAGGAGGGGCUGUGGCCGUCUGAGUCCUUCCUUGAACCAAGGCACCAACCUUUCAAUGCUGGGCCACAUCAGUACAUGCCUUCUAAGGAGUAAGACAUAGGGAACGAAGGCCCCUGGGAAAAUCUUCAUAUGUAUGUUCUUGAGGAAUUUAGAAGUUUGUUAAAAAGAGGCCUGUGCAUGUGAGACCAUGACAUGAAGUAUAGUUAUGAUACCCCUGUUCCCACUGAUUUUCCUUUCUGCAGAACCAAAUUUCCUCCUUUUGGGAUCCAGCUUUAAUCAUAUUCGAAGUCACUGAAGACUUAGAUGUUGAGCAUGGUUAAAUUAGAUGAGGUUCUGUCAGUCUAUUAUACAGAUUUCAAUUCUUAUUUAUUGAUAUGUGUAUACUUGUUUGUUCACUUAUUUUGUUAGUUAUUAUGUAAAGGAUGGGCAAAGAGAAAUCAUGGUUCAGAACUCUUGAUAAUGAUAAAAUAUUGCAUUUUUUCCUCUUAUUUACCUUUGGAUUUCCAUUCUUAACUCUGUGCACUGAAGAGGAGAGAGAAGAUCGCCAGUAGUUGGAGACCAUCUGCAGAACUGGAGCAGUGCACGGGAAGCACGUUAUAAAUUUUACAUUCUUAUGUAGGAACGUAGACAGAAUCUUGAUGCUCCUACAAAGGUAAGCCCUCUUUAACCGAAUCAGUGGUUAUGGAAAACUAGGGUUUUUGGUAUUCCUGUAUCUUAAACAGGAACAGGUUCACCUCCACUUCAAUCCUUGGUAAAAAUUUGGAUUGUGACCAACAGGAAGAAAUUUUUUCUAUUUGUCUCCUAACAUUAUUACCCAUGUACAACCUGUGUCCACUGCUUAUGGUGUCUUCUCUCCUCCUUCGCAUGAUCUAAGGGUUUCCCUGACAGAAAGUCUCGCUGCUCCGGAUGUGUGUGAGCAGUGACUGCGACACCAUUGAAGAUUGUUCUCACGUGUAAUUGUGUGUUUAUUUUUGAGAAGAUGUGAGAGCAUAUGUGUGAGUGUGUUUAUGCGUAAGUGUUCUGGAAUAUGGAGGGAUUCUUGUCUGAUGCUGGGGUGGCCCUGUAAGGUUUUCAGGAGGAAGAUGUGUGGGAAAAGCUGACACAAAUGAUAUACCCAUUCCAAACAUGGCUAUGGUACAGCUUCUAAAUAGAAGUAAUAUGUUCCAUGGAACAUGAAAAUAUUACUGCUGAGUAUUGCUUUUGGACUUCAUCAUGGAUCAAGUGCCUUAGAAAUGGCCUCAAUUUGAAAGUAGACUCUGAAGGAAAUAACCCCUUAUUCAAAGGUACCUGUUUCAAAUAUUCAAAGGAAUAUUUUAGAGACUUAGAAAAUAAUAAACUCUGUGACUCAACAUUUGAAUAACAAAAGCAUUUAAAGGCAGCAGAGGGAAUAUCUGAGAGGAAGAAUGAGUGAGCACAGAGAGACGGCAUAAGGAAUGGGCAUCUCAUGAGUGAGAGAACAAAUGCGAAUGUGCAUUCAGGAGAAUUCUAUUUCCUUACACAUUGACUGUAUCAUAAAGAUAUGAAAUCACAAAUUAGUACAACAGACAUAGCCUGGUUCUUGUUGACACCAUUUCAGAAAGGUCACAUAUGAAUGUUAGCUUCAGCUGUGCAGUUGGAAGGUCAGAGGAGGUGCCCCUUGUCUAACAAAGAGAAAGGGACCAAUCAGCCCAGGGACUUGGGAACCUGGGACUAUAUCAUUUUAGUCUUUUUUCCCAGGUCUCUGGCAGAACCAAAACACUCAAGUUUACUAUACACUCAGGUUUAGUACCGAACUGCCCACUUCAAAGAACUCUCUGAAUUCUUACUCUCCGGCCUAAAGACAAACACGAGGGGAUGCAGCUGUUUUUACUUUGUUCUCCAAGUGGGAGCAUCCUCUCUGUCCCAUUACACUUCCUUAUAUUGUGAUGACUGGCUGCAGGGCAAGGCUGAGGUAGAAAUAAAUACCAGACAAAAGACCAUCAGAGCUGAAAGAGGCCGUGGGGAUUUUGUCCAUAACACACUUCUUAUCACAGACUACACACUUGGGUCCCAGAUGGCUCAGAUAUAUUUAUUGAAGAUGUGGAAGUUCUAACAGUUCUGUGAAAUGGGAAACUGACUGACUUUUUAGUCUGUUGAAGGGAAAAAACACCUGGGAAAGUCCAGCUUGAAUGUCCCUUCUCUGAGUCUUUUUUCUCUGUCCGCGGUUACUAACUUAGCCAGAAGUAUGUUUCCAAGUCCUCUUUCCCCUCUCUUUUCAGGAUUUGUCUAACAUGGCUCCCAUUGUCUUAGACUAUGACUUGUUUCUGGUUUCCUAUCACUUUUACAUGCACUCUUUCAUCUUCUGUCAGGUUCUGUUGGUCAUCGGACAGUCAGAGUGCUGGGCGCCUCUGUCACAGAGUGGAAAAGUGGGAGAAUAUACUGUCAACAAUCAGACCUCUGAUCAAAGGCAGAGAUAAUCUAGAGCUGAGAGGAGGAAAAAAGGACAUCACUAGGAUUUAAGCUCAUCUCUCUCAUAAUUGAACAGUGUAAACGGAAAGGAAAUUGAAGAUAUUUUAAAUUAUGCUUUUGCCAGCACUGAUUAUCCUUGACCACGAGGAAUCCAGAUGCCAGACUGAAACAUCAGUUUCUUGUCUUAAAGGAGUUGCAGCUGCCUGUUAAACUGAUCGUGGCUGUGCACAGAGGAGGCAGUUGGAGAUGGCAAGCAUCAUAUGCUCCAGUGUAUCAUCUGGACUGGAGAGGUGUCAGUGAAGGAAGACACACAUUUUACAUCCUCAUGUUGUACAAAAGAAGGAAAGGGAGGAAAUAGAGCAAACAACUGCCUCCAAGAUUGGAGAGACAAACAAGCUUAUGAACUCAGAGACUCAGGAGCAGAAACCACUGUGGGAACUAGUGCCAAGGUAGGCAAACCUGAACUCUAAUGGAUGAGUUGCUGCAGGCUCAGUGUGGACAGCUCCAAAAGUUAAAAACUCCAGUGGGACCCAGUCAUGGAGGGGCCCUACAAUUUUGUAAGAUUUACCUUCUGGGGAUUGACAAGAUUCCCACAGUAAAUAUCAGAGAAAUAACCCCUUGGCCUUUUGGCAUCGGGAGGGAAAAAGGAAUCAUUUUGAAAUAAGCCAGAGCACUCUGCUCUUUUGAACAAGGCCUGCCUACGGGAGAAACUAGUUAACCACAGCCUAACCUGCUGGGGUAUUAUCAAGAGCCAAAUGGGCAUGGGAAAGGGAAACACCCAACUCCAGCUGGCUCUGGCCUUUUAUCUGGGAGAAGGGAAAUACACAGCUCGAGCCCACUCCAGCAAUCCUGUCCUACCUAAGAAGGGAGGAAAAAGUGAGAGACACUUGUGAAGUUCACAGUCCACAGGCAUAGACUUAGAAAAGCAUGAGGCCUAAUCACAGGACGAUGAACACUUCCUCCCCCUUCCCCCCCCCCCCCCCCGCCACAGUACUGAAGGCCUAUUUACAGCAGUUCCUUUCACCCAGUACAUCAUGUCCAGCUGUCUGUGUGUAAACACAAGUUUCAUUUUACUUGUGUAAAUAGCUAGGAGUGGAAUUCGUGGGACUUAUGGCAAGUGAAGAUUAAACAUAAAAUAAAUUUUAAGACAUUUUAAGAAAAAAGCCCUUUAACAGAACUACUUUAACAUUUUGUGCUGCCGUAAAAAAUGUAUCAAAUUUCCAGUUACCCAUAUCCUCAGCAGCACUCAACAUUGGCAGGUUUUUUUGUUUUGUUUUGUUUUGCUUCUGUGUUAG
This 3748-nucleotide long non-coding RNA is filed under the name Equus caballus (horse). RNAcentral's name for it is "lncRNA (ENSECAG00000060170.1)". The record is from RNAcentral. Lineage: Eukaryota; Metazoa; Chordata; Mammalia; Perissodactyla; Equidae.